UACAGAGGGUGCGAGCGUUAAUCGGAAUUACUGGGCGUAAAGCGUGCGUAGACGGCUAUCUAAGUCGGGUGUGAAAGCCCCGGGCUCAACCUGGGAAUUGCAUUCGAGACUGCUCUGCUAGGGUGCGGAAGAGGGGAGCGGAAUUUCCGGUGUAGCGGUGAAAUGCGUAGAUAUCGGAAGGAACACCAGUGGCGAAAGCGGCUCCCUGGUCCAGCACCGACGUUCAGGCACGAAAGCGUGGGGAGCAAACAGG
This 253-nucleotide ribosomal RNA is filed under the name uncultured bacterium. RNAcentral's name for it is "partial 16S ribosomal RNA". It matches the Rfam family "Bacterial small subunit ribosomal RNA", at positions 524 to 776 of the family's 1533-position model. The record is from RNAcentral.